AUUGAACGCUGGCGGCAUGCCUUACACAUGCAAGUCGAACGGCAGCGGGGGAGAAGCUUGCUUUUCCUGCCGGCGAGUGGCGAACGGGUGAGUAAUACAUCGGAACGUGCCCUGUAGUGGGGGAUAACUAGUCGAAAGAUUAGCUAAUACCGCAUCAGACCUGAGGGUGAAAGUGGGGAAGCGCAAAGGCUCAGGCUAUAGGACAGGCCGAUGUCUGAUUAGCUAGUUGGGGGGGUAAAGGCCUACCAAGGCAACGAUCAGUAGCUGGUCUGAGAGGACGAUCAGCCACACUGGGACUGAGACACGGCCCAGACUCCUACGGGAGGCAGCAGUGGGGAAUUUUGGACAAUGGGCGAAAGCCUGAUCCAGCAAUGCCGCGUGUGUGAAGAAGGCCUUCGGGUUGUAAAGCACUUUUGUCCGGAAAGAAAUGGCUCUGGUUAAUACCUGGGGUCGAUGACGGUACCGGAAGAAUAAGGACCGGCUAACUACGUGCCAGCAGCCGCAGUAA
Molecule: ribosomal RNA, 508 nt
Filed under: uncultured bacterium
Lineage: Bacteria
Description: partial 16S ribosomal RNA
Rfam family: Bacterial small subunit ribosomal RNA
Source: RNAcentral